RNAcentral lists this ribosomal RNA (448 nucleotides) under uncultured bacterium. Its description in RNAcentral is "SSU rRNA". It matches the Rfam family "Bacterial small subunit ribosomal RNA", at positions 26 to 518 of the family's 1533-position model. The record is from RNAcentral.
AGAACGAACGCUGGCGGCAGGCUUAACACAUGCAAGUCGAACGCGUGUAGCAAUACACGAGUGGCGCACGGGUGAGUAACGCGUGGAUAUCUGCCUUUUGGUUCGGAAUAACCCCGGGAAACUGGGGCUAAUACCGGAUGGUUCCUUCGGGAUAAAGAUUUAUCGCCAAAAGAUGAGUCCGCGUCCGAUUAGCUAGUUGGUGAGGUAAUGGCUCACCAAGGCGACGAUCGGUAGCUGGUCUGAGAGGACGAUCAGCCACACUGGGACUGAGACACGGCCCAGACUCCUACGGGAGGCAGCAGUGGGGAAUAUUGGACAAUGGGGGCAACCCUGAUCCAGCCAUGCCGCGUGAGUGAUGAAGGCCUUCGGGUUGUAAAGCUCUUUUGGCGGGGACGAUGAUGACGGUACCCGCAGAAUAAGCCCCGGCUAACUUCGUGCCAGCAGCCGC